Long non-coding RNA from Cebus imitator (Panamanian white-faced capuchin), 578 nucleotides. RefSeq lists it as uncharacterized. Lineage: Eukaryota; Metazoa; Chordata; Mammalia; Primates; Cebidae. The transcript is spliced from 2 exons. The record is from RefSeq and is a predicted model, not a curated record.
CAUCGUGCCCUCUUCACAGAUGAGCAAACGGAGGCCAGGCGUCACCGGCAGGCGGCGCUGCGGAGCGCGAGACCCGGCACCUGCGUGGCGAGCGGCGGGCGCGGGGGAAGCAGUUUCUUACAGGCAAAAUAAAGAGGAUAAUCCUUCCCUCAUAGGACAGCUUUGAGAAUUGGAUGAAAUUGCUCCUCUGGAGUACUUUCUACAAGUCCGUACUAUCAUUCGGCUGCUGGAAAAGGUUUCCUUCUUUUUGUCCUUCUCACUCAGUGUUAGAGUGACGGAACCUUUGGUCCAGAACCUGGGAUGUUGCCUUUUGCCCUCUGGAAUUCCUAUCCUGGAAUUGUCCAGGCAGCCAGGAAGCCAAUGGAGCCAAGUCCUUCAGGACAGCCUGGGAGCCUCCAGGAAGCUGUUAGGAGUGCCAUGAUGGGUGCACUUGGACUCACAGAAUCUGGCUUCUGAUCUCAGUGCUGCUUCUAUUCCUUUGCUACUUUAGGGCUCACAUUCCUGUUAAAACUGUUUUCUUAUCACAGAAUGGGGAAAUGUGUUCCUUGAAAAUAAAAAUGAGAAGUCAUUUAUGAACA